GUGUCUCCAUAUCUUCAGAGUAAAUAAAAUGGCAGCAAGCUCUAAGUCAUGUGUAGGAUAAUUCCUUUCAUGGGGUUUUAGCUGGUGUGAAGCAUAUAACAUUUCUAUCUUGCAUCUCAACACACAGCCUAACUCAUUGUGAAAUGCAUCACUGUAUACCCAGAGUAGGUAACGUCAAGACAGCUUCAGUUAAACAUCUCUUCAACUCAUCAAAACUCUGC
RNAcentral lists this unclassified non-coding RNA (221 nucleotides) under Hevea brasiliensis (rubber tree). Lineage: Eukaryota; Viridiplantae; Streptophyta; Magnoliopsida; Malpighiales; Euphorbiaceae. The record is from RNAcentral.